Molecule: long non-coding RNA, 1840 nt
Organism: Equus caballus (horse)
Lineage: Eukaryota; Metazoa; Chordata; Mammalia; Perissodactyla; Equidae
Source: Ensembl
AGGAAGGAAGGCAAAGAUGGAUGAGGAUCUCCAGAACUUUUGGGAUGAAGAAAAAGGAAGCUGAGUUAGCUGAUAUGGUAUAUUCUGCUGAGAUCACCUGCCAAGGGUGAGGGGCUUGGGCUGAAGAAGCCUUUAGCUAAUCAAAACCUCCUGAAGUUUAAAGAGAUUGGAAUCCAGUUGGCAUGCUAUUAUCGCUUCAUCUCCGACUGAGGCAGCCAUUCAUGGUAACUCUCAGUCUUGAGGAUUCAACUUUGGCAGACAAGGGUCUCACAUUAACAACUGCAUUUUGCUAAAGUCAUGGUACAUGGGAACAAGGAGUUGUUGGCAGUAUGGCCCAUCCCCAGGUACACAGCUGUACACUCUUCAUUGUGGGUCCCUCCAGCUGCGGCACGUGGGACGCCGCCUCAGCGUGGCCCGACGAGCAGCGCCCUGUCCGCGCCCAGGAUCCGAACCAACGGAACACUGGGCCGCCUGCAGCAGAGCGCGCAAACCCAAUCACUCAGCCACGGGGCCAGCCGCCUGAAUCCAUUACUUUUUAAGCCAACUACACUGUUGCUUGGAACAGAGACAAGAUCCCAGGUUCUAGCUGUGACCGGUUUUGGCUGAUGAGAUAAAAGUGAAAGUGUUGUGUAGGAAUUCUGGGAAGCUUCCUUAAAAGAAAGGAGAAGGGUGUCUAUUUUUGCUCUUCUGCUUCUUCCCACUGCUUUAAUGGAAUAUAACUGUGAUGGCAGUCACUCCAGUAGCCAUCUUGGGCCACAAGAACCUUCUCUUCAAACUUCAUCCUGCAGUUCUCCCCUGCAGCAGUUACUGCGGGUCUGCUUCCACAUUACUGGUAGACAUCCCCGGGCUCUACACACCUGCCCACUCACCACAGAGCAGUAAGACAUAAAAGUUAAGAGAAUGGCCUUUGGAGUAAGACCAAAGCUGGAACUCAGGUCCUACCAAUAGGUGGUUAUGGGUUACCAUUACUCAGCUUUGGUUUCCUCAUCUGUCAAUUGGGGAGGAUGAUGCAAAUGAUAGCUCAUGUUUGCACCAGGCGCUAAGUGCAUCAGAUGGAUACUCUCUCCUAAAAGCCCAUUCUCUGCUUCUUCCUUAAUCCACUUUCUGCCCAGUGAAUAUUCCAAGAAGAACUGGACAGAGAUAAAUCAUUUUGCCUUGGAAAUUUAUCAGGUUGAAAAAAAUAAACAAGCUGAUGCCCUCCAAAACUCAGAAAAUCACGUUAGCCUAAGGAAAACGAAGAAGUAAUAACAAUACGAUGACACUUCCAUUCUGGCAAGGCGACCCCAUGUAUGGUAGUGCAGCUGUGGAGAGUGCCGUGGUCUGGAAUCAUUCAAAGAAGCAUCUUUGGCAAUGGGAGCCUCAGUGAAACUCCACAACAAAAAACUCAGGCGAUCAGACUCAUUUGCUAGCUCCCAUGUUCUGGUCAGCCUUUCUACCGUCCUUGGUCUGGCUUCACACACUGGCAUACCAACCUAGUAGGAUUCUGCCACCCUGAGACAAGACGGAUUUGAUGUUAGGAUGACCUUGAAAGACGUCCUUCUGUUAACAAGCCUGCCAGGUUACAGACAUCCUUGGUUACAGCUCAACCAGUGUGGCUUGGAAAAGUCUCCAACCAGGAUGACUGGGCAUGAAUCAGUGGGCGAUUCCUGCAGUCAAAAGAUAGGGUCCGUGCUCCUCCAAAGGAGAAAACAAGUCGUUUAAUCUGCAGGGACAAGAUAGAAUAUGUAAAGGCCCAUUGGCAAAAUCUUGGUCUCUGUCAAAUUUAAAAUUAGAUGGGUCACUGAUAGAGAGAUGAAUGGAUCUCUCCAGAUAUCAAUAAACAUAAACCAACAGGACUGUG